UACAGGGGGGGCAAGCGUUGUUCGGAAUUACUGGGCGUAAAGGGUUCGUAGGUGGCCAACUAAGUCAGACGUGAAAUCCCUCAGCUUAACUGGGGAACUGCGUCUGAUACUGGAUGGCUUGAGUGUAGGAGAGGAAUGCGGAAUUCCAGGUGUAGCGGUGAAAUGCGUAGAUAUCUGGAGGAACACCGGUGGCGAAGGCGACAUCCUGGACCGGCAUUGACGCUGAGGCGCGAAAGCCAGGGGAGCAAACGGG
RNAcentral lists this ribosomal RNA (253 nucleotides) under uncultured bacterium. RNAcentral describes it as "partial 16S ribosomal RNA". It matches the Rfam family "Bacterial small subunit ribosomal RNA", at positions 524 to 776 of the family's 1533-position model. The record is from RNAcentral.